This 125-nucleotide small RNA is filed under the name Marmota monax (woodchuck). The record is from RNAcentral. Lineage: Eukaryota; Metazoa; Chordata; Mammalia; Rodentia; Sciuridae.
GCUGGGUAUAGUGGCGCAUGCCUGUAAUCCCAGCUGCUCGGGAGGCUGAGGCAAGAGGAUCGCGAGUUCAAAGCCAGCCUCAGCAAAAGCAAGGUGCUAAGCAACUCAGUGAGACCCUGUCUCUA